RNAcentral lists this ribosomal RNA (340 nucleotides) under Acanthamoeba lenticulata. Its description in RNAcentral is "SSU rRNA". It matches the Rfam family "Eukaryotic small subunit ribosomal RNA", at positions 798 to 1080 of the family's 1831-position model. The record is from RNAcentral. Lineage: Eukaryota; Discosea; Longamoebia; Acanthamoebidae.
AAUACAUUAGCAUGGGAUAAUGGAAUAGGACCCUGACCUCCUAUUUUCAGUUGGUUUUGUUUACAGCGAGGUUAUAUCAGGGUAAUGAUUAAUAGGGAUAGUUGGGGGCAUUAAUAUUUAAUUGUCAGAGGUGAAAUUCUUGGAUUUAUGAAAGAUUAACUUCUGCGAAAGCGUUUGCCAAGGAUGUUUUCAUUAAUCAAGAACGAAAGUUAGGGGAUCGAAGACGAUCAGAUACCGUCGUAGUCUUAACCAUAAACGAUGCCGACCAGCGAUUAGGAGACGUUGAAUACAAAACACCGCUGUUAAUCCUUUCGGGGGUUAAUAGUUGGUGAAUGACUCC